GCAUGGCUGCGAGGAUAUUACACAGCAUCUAAUGUCAGUUCUGCUUCUGAAUUUCAUGAAUGAGAAGCUGAUAGUAAAACUGAGCCAUUGC
Dendrobium catenatum is the source of this 91-nucleotide small nucleolar RNA. The record is from RefSeq and is a predicted model, not a curated record. Lineage: Eukaryota; Viridiplantae; Streptophyta; Magnoliopsida; Asparagales; Orchidaceae.